RNAcentral lists this ribosomal RNA (503 nucleotides) under uncultured bacterium. Its description in RNAcentral is "partial 16S ribosomal RNA". It matches the Rfam family "Bacterial small subunit ribosomal RNA", at positions 30 to 523 of the family's 1533-position model. The record is from RNAcentral.
AUUGAACGCUGGCGGCAGGCUUAACACAUGCAAGUCGAGCGGGGUGAUGGUGCUUGCACUAUCACUUAGCGGCGGACGGGUGAGUAAUGCUUAGGAAUCUGCCUAUUAGUGGGGGACAACAUCUCGAAAGGGAUGCUAAUACCGCAUACGUCCUGCGGGAGAAAGCAGGGGAUCACUUGUGAAUUUGCGCUAAUAGAGGAGCCUAAGUCGGAUUAGCUAGUUGGUGGGGUAAAGGCCUACCAAGGCGACGAUCUGUAGCGGGUCUGAGAGGAUGAUCCGCCACACUGGGACUGAGACACGGCCCGGACUCCUACGGGAGGCAGCAGUGGGGAAUAUUGGACAAUGGGGGGAACCCUGAUCCAGCCAUGCCGCGUGUGUGAAGAAGGCCUUAUGGUUGUAAAGCACUUUAAGCGAGGAGGAGGCUCUUUUGGUUAAUACCCAAGAUGAGUGGACGUUACUCGCAGAAUAAGCACCGGCUAACUCUGUGCCAGCCGCCGCUGUAA